AUUGAACGCUGGCGGCAGGCCUAACACAUGCAAGUCGAACGGUAACAGGAAGAAGCUUGCUUCUUUGCUGACGAGUGGCGGACGGGUGAGUAAUGUCUGGGAAACUGCCUGAUGGAGGGGGAUAACUACUGGAAACGGUAGCUAAUACCGCAUAACGUCGCAAGACCAAAGAGGGGGACCUUCGGGCCUCUGGCCAUCGGAUGUGCCCAGAUGGGAUUAGCUUGUUGGUGGGGUAACGGCUCACCAAGGCGACGAUCCCUAGCUGGUCUGAGAGGAUGACCAGCCACACUGGAACUGAGACACGGUCCAGACUCCUACGGGAGGCAGCAGUGGGGAAUAUUGCACAAUGGGCGCAAGCCUGAUGCAGCCAUGCCGCGUGUAUGAAGAAGGCCUUCGGGUUGUAAAGUACUUUCAGCGGGGAGGAAGGGAGUAAAGUUAAUACCUUUGCUCAUUGACGUUACCCGCAGAAGAAGCACCGGCUAACUCCGUG
This 490-nucleotide ribosomal RNA is filed under the name uncultured bacterium. RNAcentral's name for it is "partial 16S ribosomal RNA". It matches the Rfam family "Bacterial small subunit ribosomal RNA", at positions 30 to 507 of the family's 1533-position model. The record is from RNAcentral.